UCCAUACUUUCUAGAAUUUGCUCCAUUCUUCCAAGACUCUCUCUCCCUCUCUUACCUUUCUUUCUCCUUUGUUACUGUUUCUUGGCCUCACUUUUCCAGAAUUUUUCAAUCUGGUUUGAGUUUUGCUCUGGCGUUGCGAUACUUAUUUAUGAAUAAUAACCGGCUUUUAGAUGCUAUGAGUCAUGAAGAGAAUUUUGGACUUGCGUACAAUUUUUUGGACAACAAAACUAUUGGCGCAGAAAAUAUUUGAGACAUGAACAAGAAGUCAGUUUAUUCUGAAUUUGAAGACUUCAUUGAGCCACAAGAAACAAUAGGUUGUACAAAGUGUUAUGCCGAUGGUGUUUAUGCAACUAAUGGUAAAUGUUAGAAAGUAUUUGCAAGUUCAAUUGAAUUGAUACUUAUUAGAUUAUAGCUUUUGUGCCCCUCUUGAUAUAAACGUUACCUAUGAUUGAUAUUGAGUGGAGGCGGUCAAUAGAGAUAUAAAUCUGGGGACUACAAUAUGUAAGUCUCUUCAUUUUUAAUGGAGUGGUAUGGGUUCGCAUAAUUAAGUUUGAUAUCCUAUCGAUCCUUUUAUACCAAAUUCUGUAUAUGACCAGAAGUCUUUUAUUUCUUUCACUUUCCUAAUUUAUAAAUAGCUUUCAGCUGUAAAACCUGAUUGGCAAUUCGAUGGACAAGAGAAUGAAAGCAUUGGGUGUAAACUAAAAGGAUAUCAAGAAUUAUUGCUGUCAUUAUAUUUAUGUAUUAUUUAGAUUUUCUUAUGUUUGUUUAGUAUACAAUUUCAGAGUUUAUGCUGCGGGAAGAGACAAUCAUUGUUUGCUAAGUAAUAAGAUAUACAAUAAGAUAAUAUUGUUGUUAGAUUAUCCAAGUUCAAUUUGUAUCUGCAAACUUCCCCUUCCAUUAAUUAAGUUUAGAAGCACAAAUACACUCCCUUUCAAGAUAGUUAGUAUAGCUUAGAAUUGAAACCUCUAUAUUGUGUUUUCAAUCAAUGUGUGAUAAUAUAUAACGCAUGCUCAGGUUCCACUCAUCCUAAUUGCAAUUAUUGUCCCAACUGUGAAAGCAAAAGCUUAUAAUUUCACUUACUUUCCUUUGAUUGUGCUUCUGGUUUGAUGUGGAUUUCUUUA
Molecule: long non-coding RNA, 1121 nt
Organism: Nicotiana attenuata
Lineage: Eukaryota; Viridiplantae; Streptophyta; Magnoliopsida; Solanales; Solanaceae
Exons: 3
Source: RefSeq, a predicted model, not a curated record